This 427-nucleotide ribosomal RNA is filed under the name uncultured archaeon. RNAcentral's name for it is "bacterial SSU rRNA". It matches the Rfam family "Archaeal small subunit ribosomal RNA", at positions 474 to 903 of the family's 1478-position model. The record is from RNAcentral.
UACCAGCUCUCCGAGUGGUAGGGAUGAUUAUUGGGCUUAAAGCGUCCGUAGCCGGCUUAGCAAGUCUCCUGUUAAAUUCAGCGACCUAAUCGUUGAGCCGCAGGAGAUACUACUAGGCUAGGAGGCGGGAGAGGACAACGGUACUUCCGGGGUAGGGGUGAAAUCCUAUAAUCCCGGGAGGACCACCAGUGGCGAAGGCUGUUGACUAGAACGCGCUCGACGGUGAGGGACGAAAGCUGGGGGAGCGAACCGGAUUAGAUACCCGGGUAGUCCCAGCUGUAAACGAUGCGAGCUAGGUGUUGGGGUGGCUACGUGCCACUUCAGUGCCGCAGGGAAGCCAUUAAGCUCGCCGCCUGGGGAUACGGCCGCAAGGCUGAAACUUAAAGAAAUUGGCGGGGAGCACCACAAGGCGUGAAGCUUACGGUUC